UAGGGAAUCUUCGGCAAUGGACGAAAGUCUGACCGAGCAACGCCGCGUGAGUGAAGAAGGUUUUCGGAUCGUAAACUCUGUUGGUAGAGAAGAACGUUGGUGAGAGUGG
Molecule: ribosomal RNA, 109 nt
Filed under: uncultured bacterium
Lineage: Bacteria
Description: partial 16S ribosomal RNA
Rfam family: Bacterial small subunit ribosomal RNA
Source: RNAcentral